GUACUAUAUGAAAGGAGAGAUGGUUAGCAUUCACCUUGAUAAAAAUGCAAGAGGGCCUAGAGGCUUUUAUAAUACACAUAUAGUUUAGGCAUUGCCAGCUACUCUGUGGCAUCUAACUAUGUUUUUUC
Molecule: small nuclear RNA, 128 nt
Organism: Gracilinanus agilis (Agile Gracile Mouse Opossum)
Lineage: Eukaryota; Metazoa; Chordata; Mammalia; Didelphimorphia; Didelphidae
Source: RefSeq, a predicted model, not a curated record